UACGGAGGGGGCGAGCGUUACCCGGAAUCACUGGGCGUAAAGGGUGCGUAGGCGGCCGCGUGUGUCUGGCGUAAAAUUCCACGGCUCAACUGUGGGAAUGCGCUGGAAACUACGUGGCUUGGGUGCGGCAGAGGCAGACGGAACUGCUGGUGUAGGGGUGAAAUCCGUAGAUAUCAGCAGGAACGCCGGUGGAGAAGUCGGUCUGCUGGGCCGUAACCGACGCUGAGGCACGAAAGCUAGGGGAGCGAACCGG
RNAcentral lists this ribosomal RNA (253 nucleotides) under uncultured microorganism. Its description in RNAcentral is "partial 16S ribosomal RNA". It matches the Rfam family "Bacterial small subunit ribosomal RNA", at positions 524 to 776 of the family's 1533-position model. The record is from RNAcentral.